UUGACACAUCCAGGUGGUUAGAUAAUCCACGCGGUUGUAAGAGAAUAAAAUUGAGACAAAUUUUUUUUUUAAGUCUAUUGUUCUUUAUACGCUAAAAGUAUGUGUUUGGACAGCCAUGCUACGAGGUUAUUUCUAUCAUUUCUUACUCUGCAUAUUUCUUGAAAAAAAUGCUAUAUUUCUUUCAAAAGGAAAUAAACUUUUGAACAGACAAAUGAAUAAAGGACGCAGGUAACAGUUUUUUCUUCACCCCUUAAAUUCCUGGAAAUUAAUAGAAGAAAAUUGAGAAGAGAGAAAAAAAUAACUCAAGUCCCUGAGGAAAAUAUAUUUCUGAACAAAAGAAACAAAAAAAACGUACGACUGGCUUGAGAGAUAGUCAUCUGUGCAAGAGUGAAAGUUUCUUUUGAAAAAAAUAAGAAGGAAUUUCAGGAAUGUCAGGAAUGUCAGGAAUGUGGAAAAUACAAUAGAGACGCAAGUAAGUUUUGUGUAUGGAAGGGUCAGGAUACAAUUUUUCCGGAUGGAUUGGAUUUUUUAUUAUUUUGGAACGUGACAAAUACAAUAGAGAGGCAGGAAUGAUUUAUAGAUAUUUAGUUAAUCCCAGACACGCAGUCG
Long non-coding RNA from Polistes dominula (European paper wasp), 609 nucleotides. NCBI's taxonomy places the organism in Eukaryota, Metazoa, Arthropoda, Insecta, Hymenoptera, Vespidae. The record is from RefSeq and is a predicted model, not a curated record.